GACGAACGCUGGCGGCGUGCUUAACACAUGCAAGUCGAACGGUAAGGCCCCAGCUUGCUGGGGUACACGAGUGGCGAACGGGUGAGUAACACGUGGGUGACCUGCCCCGCACUUCGGGAUAAGCCUGGGAAACUGGGUCUAAUACCGGAUAGGACCGCACCGUGAGGGUGUGGUGGAAAGUUUUUCGGUGUGGGAUGGGCCCGCGGCCUAUCAGCUUGUUGGUGGGGUAAUAGCCUACCAAGGCGGCGACGGGUAGCCGGCCUGAGAGGGUGGACGGCCACAUUGGGACUGAGACACGGCCCAGACUCCUACGGGAGGCAGCAGUGGGGAAUAUUGCACAAUGGGCGGAAGCCUGAUGCAGCGACGCCGCGUGGGGGAUGACGGCCUUCGGGUUGUAAACUCCUUUCACCAUCGACGAAGGUUUUCUGACGGUAGAUGGAGAAGAAGCACCGGCUAACUACGUG
RNAcentral lists this ribosomal RNA (464 nucleotides) under uncultured bacterium. RNAcentral describes it as "partial 16S ribosomal RNA". It matches the Rfam family "Bacterial small subunit ribosomal RNA", at positions 28 to 507 of the family's 1533-position model. The record is from RNAcentral.